This 460-nucleotide ribosomal RNA is filed under the name uncultured bacterium. Its description in RNAcentral is "SSU rRNA". It matches the Rfam family "Bacterial small subunit ribosomal RNA", at positions 26 to 518 of the family's 1533-position model. The record is from RNAcentral.
AGAAUCAACGCUGGCGGCGUGCCUAACACAUGCAAGUCGAACGAGAAAGGGACUUCGGUCCUGAGUAUAGUGGCGCACGGGUGAGUAACACGUGAAUAAUCUACCUCCGAGUGGGGAAUAACCUGGAGAAAUCUAGGCUAAUACCGCAUAACACUUACGAGUCAAAGCAGCAAUGCGCUUGGAGAGGAGUUCGCGGCAGAUUAGUUAGUUGGCGGGGUAAUGGCCCACCAAGACGAUGAUCUGUAUCCGGCCUGAGAGGGCGCACGGACACACUGGAACUGAAACACGGUCCAGACUCCUACGGGAGGCAGCAGUGGGGAAUUUUGCGCAAUGGGGGAAACCCUGACGCAGCAACGCCGCGUGGAGGAUGAAGUAUCUUGGUACGUAAACUCCUUUCGAUGGGGAAGAUAAUGACGGUACCCAUAGAAGAAGCCCCGGCUAACUUCGCGCCAGCAGCCGC